Long non-coding RNA from Lepidothrix coronata (blue-crowned manakin), 657 nucleotides. RefSeq lists it as uncharacterized. The transcript is spliced from 4 exons. NCBI's taxonomy places the organism in Eukaryota, Metazoa, Chordata, Aves, Passeriformes, Pipridae. The record is from RefSeq and is a predicted model, not a curated record.
CCUUAAAUCCCCCUUUAAAAGAACAUAGUAUUUUUUCCUCACUCAUCACUGUCAUACAAUAGAUUUCACUGCAAUUUACCUCUUCAGACAAGAAUUCUCUGACAAACGGCCGAAUUAACGUUUCCUGGAACACAUUUGGCUGAUACAUCUCACCUGGGUACGCCCUGACUCCAGUCACGGUGCAUUCACCGCUCUGAGGAGAGGCUGCCCGGCACUGCCCUUCUCAGCCACGGCGCACGUUUCCAAAGCACUCAGCUUCGCUUCUUCCUAAUUUUCAAAUCACUUUGUGAUUAAAAGCGAAGGAAAGGAAAUAAUUCCAUCACAAUAAGACAGCCCAGAGUGGACUCAUCCUCCAAACUAUCAAUAAGGGAAUGACCGGGCAACCACUGCCCCAGGCGCCAUCUUGUUGGGCAGGUGAGCGUGCUGGAGAGUCCACGCUACAGGCAAUCUCUUCCCAGGGGCUGGAGGCACCUUUGGGAGAAGAAAGGCAGAUGAAAAAGAGAACAUGAUGUGAGCACUGAAAAGACGAGAGGCACACAAAAAAUGUGAACUGCUGAAUUUACUGUCUAGCUAUAAUGAGGUCUCUCUCCAAACACUGUAGAGAAGGUAAACUACUACUAAGCUGCCUUCAGUCCACAUACUUCUGUCCCUUCAGAC